CUAACCCUAUUCUCAUUUCCAUUUCGACUGCCGCCCCUCAAAACCCCCUUUCUCACAAACUCUCUCUAACACUCAAAACCAUAGCCAUCUCUGACAUCUUCUCCGACCAGUUCUCACCGAAGUCCAUGGCUUCUCGGGCCAUGGACAGCCUGUGCUCACUUCCCUUCACCCCAAAUCGUGGCUAUUCAAGGCUUUCGGGGUUCAAAUUCAACGAGGCCUGUUCAAAUCCUCCGCCAAUUUGUGUUCAUGUGGCUUCUCAGGCUCUGUUCUGACAUGUUCGAGCCUCAAGAUCCUAGAUUUGGUCAAGACCUGUUCCAGGCCAGAUCCUUUCCAAG
RNAcentral lists this long non-coding RNA (335 nucleotides) under Nicotiana benthamiana. RNAcentral's name for it is "long non-coding RNA (NBEN_LNC005631)". The record is from RNAcentral. Lineage: Eukaryota; Viridiplantae; Streptophyta; Magnoliopsida; Solanales; Solanaceae.